CUUUGAGUAUUAAGAUGAAAAGAAACAGCUUGCUCUCUCACUCCUCAAACCAUGGUCUCCUCAUCACUCUGGUUGUUUCUGCUGCUUGCAGCUGUCUCUCGUGUCCACUGUGUUGAACUGACCCAGACUGAUUCUGUGGUCUUAAGGCCUGGUCAGGUUUUGACUCUGUCCUGUAAGAUCUCUGGAUAUUCAGUGACUGACAGCUACUGCACUGGCUUCAUACGACAGGUUUCGGGAAAAGCUCUGGAAUGGGUUGGAUACAUAUGUAGUAGUAGCGGUAGCACAUAUUACAGUGAAAAACUGAAAAGUAGAUAUCAAGUUAGCAGAGACACUUCCAGCAGCACAGUGACUCUACAAGGACAGAAUAUGCAGACUGAGGACACAGCUGUGUAUUACUGCGCCAGAGAGUCACAGUGACACAGAGCAGUUACUGCCUUGUUCAAAAACAACAUUGUCACUCACAACACAAAUAGUUUCAG
This is a non-coding RNA of Megalobrama amblycephala (Wuchang bream), 479 nucleotides long. The record is from the annotation of a RefSeq genome assembly. NCBI's taxonomy places the organism in Eukaryota, Metazoa, Chordata, Actinopteri, Cypriniformes, Xenocyprididae.